RNAcentral lists this ribosomal RNA (207 nucleotides) under uncultured bacterium. RNAcentral describes it as "partial 16S ribosomal RNA". It matches the Rfam family "Bacterial small subunit ribosomal RNA", at positions 568 to 774 of the family's 1533-position model. The record is from RNAcentral.
CUCGUAGGCGGUUCGUCGCGUCCGGUGUGAAAGUCCAUCGCUUAACGGUGGAUCUGCGCCGGGUACGGGCGGGCUGGAGUGCGGUAGGGGAGACAGGAAUUCCCGGUGUAACGGUGGAAUGUGUAGAUAUCGGGAAGAACACCAAUGGCGAAGGCAGGUCUCUGGGCCGUUACUGACGCUGAGGAGCGAAAGCGUGGGGAGCAAACA